Pelobates cultripes (western spadefoot toad) is the source of this 210-nucleotide non-coding RNA. The record is from the annotation of a GenBank genome assembly. Lineage: Eukaryota; Metazoa; Chordata; Amphibia; Anura; Pelobatidae.
GCAGAGAUUAUUGCUGGAGCCCAAUCCCUUCCCCCCAGUGUCUGCACACACACAGAGAGCAGGAAUCCCUAAUUCCAGGAUCACUGGGAACAUGCAGAGAUUAUUGCUGGAGCCCAAUCCCUUCCCCCCAGUGUCUGCACACACAGAGAGCAGGAAUCCCUAAUUCCAGGAUCAAUGGGAACAUGCAGAGAUUAUUGCUGGAGCCCAAUC